GUAUUUAAAAAGGCACUAAGUUAAAAUAUAACUCUAAGAAACUAGAAUUAAAAGUAGUUUUAAUAACAUUAAAGAAACUCUAAAACUAUAUCUAUAGUAUUAGAUUUUUAUUAGAA
Ribosomal RNA from Colletotrichum spaethianum, 116 nucleotides. NCBI's taxonomy places the organism in Eukaryota, Fungi, Ascomycota, Sordariomycetes, Glomerellales, Glomerellaceae. The record is from RefSeq and is a predicted model, not a curated record.